This 1344-nucleotide long non-coding RNA is filed under the name Gopherus agassizii (Agassiz's desert tortoise). RNAcentral's name for it is "lncRNA (ENSGAGG00000025175.1)". Lineage: Eukaryota; Metazoa; Chordata; Testudines; Testudinidae. The record is from RNAcentral.
CAAAGGGCUGAUCAGCGAGGGGUAGCGAUGGCCAAUAGCUCUGGUGUGUGAGCUUCCCCCGGGGGGCACGGCAAGAGGAAGUUUGAAUUGAAUUAAACAACAAGUGUGACUUGACUUCUGCUUGGCUGCAGCCCUCACGCCUCUACGAGGAACUGGAGCAGCCUCGUUUAGUAAACGGAGGUCGAUGCGGCAUUGCUUGCCAGUGAAUCUUCGUGGGUUUAUUUAUUUUAACUAACUCGGCCAAACGAAUCGCGGCCCCUUGUUGACUCUGGCUGCAGAGGCGGAGGAGACGCAGGAAGACCAGGGGGAGGAGGCGAGGAGAUUUCGCCCAGAGCUUGCAAGGUUUCAUGCCUGCAAUGACUGCGUGCAGUUGCGUUCACCCCACUCCAACCUCCCUGGUAAAGAGCACCCCAGCCCCUCAUCACUCCGUCCCUCGCCAGACGUCAGGCUUCCUUGCAAGGCGUGGCAGACUAUGGGCAGCAGCUAAGAAAACCUAACCUUUCGAGAUCCCUUAGCACCCAGUCGGGUGCUUCAGGAAACCCGUUCAGCCCUCGGGCCGCCUGCACAACAGAAAGAGCGUGCGAUGAUCGUUUCAAACAGUGUGAGGAGAUUUCCAAAGUUUACAAGAUUAGAAAGCCCCGAGGAUCAAUCCUUCCUUCCAGGCAGGACAGAGGAGUGAGUCACAGUGCUGGAGCACAGCUCGCGCUGAUGUGGAGCCAUCGCUUUGUUUAUUUUUCUAACGUCUGCCCAAAUUCCAGCAAUCCAAAGAGAAGUAACAGCCUUUUCCAUGUGUUUAUCAUCGGGGUUGCAACAGGAUUCGCCUCAAUUGUUCUGCCUUUCUUGUGUUUUCCUUUCUUCCCUCUUCUGCAUUUCCCAGAUACAUUUGCUCUGGUUGCAAAAAUAAACAGCGGACUUUUUAACAGCAAUUUGAGAUGAUAAUGGCUAGCGAUCCCAUUCUUUCCAUCAUAAUCUUCAAGUGGUUUAAGAUUAAUGAUAGGAGGUGUUUUAGCAAGAAGUGUAGGGUCUCUUCUCCAACGACCAGCGCUAUGAUAAUUUACUUAAGAUGUUGACAAGACUGUCAGUAAGGCUAAUUUUUUAUUAAGCUGCACCGAGGUAACUGUAGUAAGCAUUUUAUUUUUUUUAAAGUAAGGUACAUUAAUUUUAUGAGUGUCUUCCCACAACUGUUAUUUGGUCUCUGGCUGAUGCAUUUGCAAUUGAAAUGCUGCUCCUUGCCUUUGUUUCCAGAAAGGUGUUUUCUGCUGUUCAGUUAUAUAUUCCUCUCCCCACCUCCUCCUCCCUCUACACACACACGUUUAAAAAAACGAAAAUAAAUUUGGGGAGCUA